RNAcentral lists this ribosomal RNA (253 nucleotides) under uncultured bacterium. RNAcentral's name for it is "partial 16S ribosomal RNA". It matches the Rfam family "Bacterial small subunit ribosomal RNA", at positions 524 to 776 of the family's 1533-position model. The record is from RNAcentral.
UACAGAGGGGGCAAGCGUUAUUCGGAAUUAUUGGGCGUAAAGAGCUUGUAGGCGGUUUGUCGCGUCUGCCGUGAAAAUCCGGGGCUCAACCCCGGACUUGCGGUGGGUACGGGCAGACUAGAGUGUGGUAGGGGAGACUGGAAUUCCUGGUGUAGCGGUGAAAUGCGCAGAUAUCAGGAGGAACACCGAUGGCGAAGGCAGGUCUCUGGGCCACUACUGACGCUGAGAAGCGAAAGCGUGGGGAGCGAACAGG